GAAUCCGUUCAUUUUUUUUUCUGCGAAAACCCUAAGUUACAACAGAUAUUGUUACCCUGUUUUUGGUGUUGGGUAAAGUCCUUGCAGUAUAUGUUCCUUACCAGUGAAAUCUAACCAGAUCUGUUGUCUCACGCCAUUGAUUUAGGGCUUCUUUUGUCUGGGUUAGGUUAUAGAAAAUAAAUGCUUAAAGUAAAGCAAUAUUUAAGUAUUGAAUAUAGCUGUCAUGUGUUUCUUUGAUUUUUUUCCUCAAUCGUGGUGUUUUAGAUCUGGUUUGCUUUCUCCUAGAUUUUUGGUCUCCCUAUUAUAUUUUGUCUAUUGACAGUGAAGUGCUGACCAUUUGUUUUGUAUUAUGUGUCUUUGUGGGGCAUACUGCUUUCACUGUUUUGUGGAAGGAAACAUAUAUAUUGAUUUAUAGUAUGGUUUCAUACUUGUAAAUUUGGUGCUACUGUAGGUAGCAUCUACCCUUUGGCCGUUUCUUUUGCACCAUAUAUUGUGUUGCAUAAUUUGUUGGUAGCUGGCUGCUGUUCUACUCACUGUAUUGUUUGGAACUUGCAAAUUUGUUUAGAAUGUUGUGAAAUAGUGAGAUUUUUGUUGGGAUGUGGACUGGGUCAGUGAACCCUGAUACCGAUCAUUUGCUUGCUUUAUCACUUAUAUUGGUUGUUGUUCACAAGUGUGUUUGGUGUGAGCUGGGUGGUGUACCAUAUUACCGUCACUGUCUAGGAGUAGCUAGGUUACCGGUGGGAGGAUGCCACUUAGUGCCUAUGCGUUGCCCUGGUAGGCUAGGUGGACCACGUUGUAUCACUUGUGAAAAAUAAAAACUUCAGUAUUACAUGUAAUAUAUUUUUCAUGGUGUAUAAUUACAAAAGUGAAAGCAAGAAAUUACUUUUAACAACAUGAGGUGCAUAUAUAGAUGGGUACUAAUUUGAGAUAGAUGGGCCUAAUAAGAAAAUUCUAUUUACUGGCCUCAAGAAGUCUCUUUUACUGGCUUCAACACUAAAUACAAUUGGUUCAAUUGAGCACAUGUGCAAAUAAUAUCUUCAUGUUGUGCGGUUAGUUGACAUUGGAAAGGAAUCUAUGUUAUUCUUGUGAGUGGCUACCUGCAGACAAAAAAAAAAGUUGCAGUAGUACAAGUGAUGUUCUAUGCCCUCGAAUAACAUAUGUAAAUGCUAACUAAAGCUGAGUGUGGUCCAUAUAACGACCACAUGAUUAAUGUGAAAACAGAUAAUGAAAUGUUGCUGUCUUCCAAGAAUCUAAUUUUCUUUUCGUACAGCAAUAUAAUGUUGCUGGCCAGAGUCCACUAUAGCGACAGUAGUACAUCUGCUGACACGUAUAGGCCUGAUUUUCUACUAUACUAUACUGUCUUCGAGUGAGACAUACGUGUGUACAUGCAUGAGGCAUAGCAUCCUCAUCGUUGAUCUUAUGCCCUUAUCCUAGAAGGUUUUACCUUGAGCCAUAUCAAAGACAGUUUAAGGAAAUAAUUAUGAAAAUGGUUUUUCAUUAACAACUGUCUUUGAAGACUGUCAAGAACAGCCUCAUUAUCAUGGGCUGGAGUAGGGGGAUGAGCAAUUGUUUAUGGAUAGGAGGUGAGUAUCACUGCAUGUUACAUCUGUGGUGCAUGUUUGUUUAGCGAUCAUAUUCCUUGUAUCCAUUAUAUUCCAUAUUGAGCUGCACUCAGCAACCUAGAUGAAAAUGGGUGUGGUUUUGGUAAUUCUUCGAAUUUGGCCAUUUACAUCCUAGUUUAGAAGUUCGGGAAUUUUUACUUCUCACAGGGUAACCAUAUUUUAUUUAUUUCUUGUUAGCAGAGAAUGCAGAACUAGCUAGGUUCCAUGUGUCCAAAAUAGAUGCAAUAUAUUCCCAACAUACAAUGAUAUAUACAAGUUAGCCCCGUUAUGCAUGCUCAAAUAUACCGUGAAGAUUUAUUUGUUUUUACUUUUUAGAGAUCAAGUGUCCGUUUAAACGACCAACUGAUUGCACUUGAUUGAUCAUAUAUAUACUUUUAAGGAGUUCUCAGAAUACUCGGCACCUUACUUGCCGGGCUAUUCAUCACAUGUUUGACAUGAUUUAUCAAAUAUUUUUUACAUAUGCAUUAUUUGCGUAACUAUGUUGAUAUUGUCCAGCCAUCAACUUUGUGGUACAAUUCAGUCUUUGUCUAUGUAUAAGUCGUCUAACAUAGCUAUAUAUAAAAACUCGACCGGAUAUGCUCCCGUGGGGAGUCGAACCUAGGACCUAGAGGUGCUACUCGAGCACUGUAACUGAAGUCCCUUUAGCAAUAGAUCUAUAUAACCCUCAGGGAAAAAAUAUCAACCGUUAUCUCACAAUAGCAAAAACAACAGGCCCAACGAAGCAAAGUUUUUUAGUUAGGACAUGGGGUAUAGACGUAAUGCUGUUGUAUCGAUCAAAUUGGUUAAGUGAAGGUCUGGUUCACAAUGAUGUUACAGGUGCAUGACUCUAUUCAGCACUAGGAUCCAGAUAUAUGUGUGACUUUUGAUUAUUGUGCGGCAUCUACAUUGUCGUCAACAUUACCUAGCCUCAUGAAGACACUUGCAUUGGCUAAUGGGCAUCUAUAAAUAUGUGUGCUUAUGCAUGGCUCCAUAUAUUGCAUUGCUAAUGCUACAUACAUGCAUAUAGCUAGCUAGAACGAGUAAGUUGUGUGCAGGCAAGCUAGUUAAGACUUAGUGCUAUAGCUUGAGAAUUAAGUAAGAUGGCCGGUGAUUCUCCAGCGGCACCGGUUGGCCAGACAUGGACCACCGGCCUCUGUGACUGCUGCGACGAUUGCAACAGCUGUUGCCUGGCGUUAUUCUGUCCAUGUGUUGCCUUCGGCCAUAUCGCCGAGACCCUCGACAGAGGCAGCAUCUGUAACUGCCCUUAAUCGCGUGAUACUCUUAUAUUGAAUCAAUAUAUAUCUAAUGAACGUCUGUGGUGAGGUCAUGGGUGCAUACUUUAUACAUCUGAUGUAAAUGUGUUUGCAUGUGUGCAGCUUGCGGCAUAGCAAGCAUCAUCUACUGCUGGAUGCGACCCACCACAGUGUGCCCAGGCCUGUACACCAUGUACUCUUGGUCCUACCGCCAGAAACUCCGCGCCACGUUCGGCAUGGCACCUGAUCCCUGCACCGAUUGUUGUCUGCAGUUCUUCUGUGAGAGAUGUUCCCUUAGCCAAAUGUACCGCGAGCUCAAGAACCGUGGCAUCAACCCUGCUAAUGGAUGGGUAGUCAACUCCCAGAAGAUGACUUCGGCGCCGAUACCUAUGCAAGACAUGAGUCGCUGACGGUCAAAAACAUCUAGAGAUAGCUCUAGUUGUUGAACUUAGCAUGAAGGAUAAAAGAAUUUAUCCAAAUAAUGUUGGUAGCUGCUUUUCAAGGUUGCACAAGAGGAAAUUAAUCUCUACUACUUAAAAGUGUCAGGGUUGGUACCGACCCCUCCCACUCCUUCCGUGCACAUCCCAACCUUCCGAGGAAAACAAAAGGAGUAAAUAAAAAUCCACAUAGUUCAUCCAUCCACGCUUCGCCAAUUUUGAGUCAUAUAGUCUUCUUGUUAUAAUGGAUGGGUGUAUUAUUAGUUAAGAAAUGGUGGAAAGUUUUAAUUCGCUCCAUGUUAUCCCACUUAUGGGUAUGUCAAAUUGUAAACUGAAAGAAUGAUUGUCCCAUCUAUAAAAAGAACUAUCAUGCAUGUCCUAACUUGUCCAUGCCCCCUGAGAAUUGAGCUAAUUUGUUUCGGGUGAUACGGGAGCAUCACCAGCAGCACCAAGAUGCCUAUUGCUUUUUUUAGAAAAUACUCCUUAAUUUAGACAAGGUUUUUA
Oryza brachyantha (malo sina) is the source of this 3795-nucleotide RNA transcript. It is a transcript of the gene named cell number regulator 4-like, with no coding region annotated. Lineage: Eukaryota; Viridiplantae; Streptophyta; Magnoliopsida; Poales; Poaceae. The transcript has 3 exons. The record is from RefSeq and is a predicted model, not a curated record.